AAGUACACAAAACUGUGAGGAACACAGUUGUAGAUUUUCAGGUUCAAAAUGCAGUUUUUGCCCAGUCUGCAAGACAAUUCAAGGCAGCCCUGGUGGACCUGCUUUUCUCCAGAAAAAGGAAGGAAGAUGAACUAGAAUUCACAAAAUUCUUUGACUUGGGACAGAGUCUCACUAUGAUCAGGCUCGCUGAGUGAAGAAUAAAAGCAUUAGCAUCAGCUUGGUAAGUAGCA
Molecule: long non-coding RNA, 230 nt
Organism: Salvator merianae (Argentine black and white tegu)
Lineage: Eukaryota; Metazoa; Chordata; Lepidosauria; Squamata; Teiidae
Source: Ensembl